CCGCCCGUCACAUCACGAAAGUCUGCUGCGUCUUGGUAAGUCGCCACGCUAACCGCAAGGAGGCAGGCGCCAACGGAGUGGCCGGCGAUUGGGGUG
RNAcentral lists this ribosomal RNA (96 nucleotides) under uncultured bacterium. Its description in RNAcentral is "partial 16S ribosomal RNA". The record is from RNAcentral.